UUAUAGGAAAACCAGCAAGCCACUAUAACACUUCUAGGGUUUCCCUUCCAGCUGCACGAUGAAGCUUCUUCCUCUGUUUGUCCUUGCUAUGGUUAUGGUUAACGCUUGUGCCGUGUCUUCUCGCACAGCACCGAGAGACCAUGUACUGGAUGGAGUAGUGAAGAUGGCAGCAACGGGAGAGGGGACGGCAAUCGACAAUCAUCAUGCGAUACCAAGGACAGAGUAUAGCAGCUGGAGCAGCCCUGGAAACAUGCCCGGAAGUGUCCAUGACAUUGCUAGCGAAGAAGCCAAGCCAUAAGCGCAGCCUGAUAUAUGCAUGCCUUUGUAUGUAGCAGACUUGGCAUGCUAGGGUACGUAUACAUACUCUUUUGAGUCCUAUGUAUAGUAGCAGUUGCAUGUCGUGGGUUCCUGGUGUGCUACCUAUAAAUGUAAAUUAAGGGUGAGCCGGAUCACGUCUAUAUAUUUACAUAUGUUCUGUUUAUAUUGAAUAAAGCAACAUUUCUCUAUACUCAUUGAUAGUUUACAGUAUGAGCUCUUGAGUACUACCAAGAAGAUGAAUCAGUCCGAAAUACUAGCUUUACCUAUAUUAGAAGAACCAUAAGAAUAUCAGCGAGGUACACAGCGAAUCCUUCAUUAUAUGAAUAAAAAAUAAACCAUUUACUUGAAGUUGAUAUUGCCAUGGAUUCAUAAGAUUGAUGUUGAAGGAACAAUAUAAUUUUGCUAAUAUAUGGUCUAGAAAAUAACUAGGAAAACAUGAAACAAUCAAGUGUUGAUGUGAGAAAAUAAAAGAACUAUAUCACCAUAACUAUAUGUAGACAUGAAGGGAAACAUGCAUAUGCAGACGGCAUGCAAUUGUUAACUAGAGUCUCGCUUGUUGUCUGCUGGCAUGAUACAAUUGCACACUAGUUAAGAUCUUUAAUUCUUGAAAUAAAGUAGUGAGUAUUUCACGUUGAUGAAAAACAGCCCUCUCUCCUCAAAGGGGCAUGCAUUGUUUAUGUAAGCUGAAACCACACCAAUUUGUUUAUAUAACUUUCAUAUGAUACAAUUUCACUGAAACCACUUAAAAUAAAUCACUUGAUAAAGUACAAUGUCUCAAUCAUUGAAUAUAUAAAUUUCAUAUGAUACAAUUUCAUUGAAAAUGCCUUACACAAAUAGCUUCAUAAAGUAUCGACAUGGGCUUUUAGUCAUUAGUGUACAUGUGCCCCCCUGGGGGAUGCUGGAAUAAUGAGAUGUUAUCCUUUGGUUCAGUAUUUUGGCAAAAUGCUAGCUAUUAUUCUGGUAAUUAUAUUUAGUCAAUAAUAGAAAAGUUGACAAAAUUACUGAGAUUUACCUGUAGCUACAAGGUCCCUAUGCUAACUAGCUAGAAAUACACUACUUAUCUGACAUAUUAUGCUCAAAAAAAUUUCUGGACCCUCUAGUCUGCAAGAGAACUUUCAUCUGCAGCGACUGAGAUGAGAGCCCAGAGCAAAAUGCCCAAGGAUCACGACUAGUACUAUUGUUGAUAAACAUGCAGUUAAAUGAAGAAAUCCACUGUGUUUAAGAGCUCAGUGACUCCACUAAUAUCUGUCCUUCUACCUAUAUGCUUACAUAGAUAGAUGAUGACACUUUUAGUGCCCGACUGAAGCGGUUGGGUUAAAAUUUAGGCAGGAUUAUUCUCCACCUAUAAAUAAAAUAUGAAGUCAUAGUCGCGUCGUCGUAAUAAAAGCAUAAAGCACUAUCUUAGUGGAAAAUACUAUUGGUAGUGUUUGAUGAUUUACGCAUAAUUUAUUAUUAGACUGACAAUGAUUGGGCCAAGUAAUCACCAUAAUCUUCGAUUGGCGAUAUUUGCAAAUAACUUAUGUCACUGGCCAUAGUAAUGGGUGGGCUCUGAUUUGGCUGCCAGUUUUACUAUAGGAUUCUAUUGGUCCCAAAGGAAUGGCAUGAGUACCUUUUACAUCCACAUGAUGUUUUUUUAAUUCUAGUGUAUCAUUAAAUAACCUUUUAGUUGUUAGGCUUUUUGCCUAUAUGAAUUGUGCACUAGUUUUUUCUGACUAUAUAAACCGUUCCUGACCUGACCAAACAAUAGCCUUCAAGAAACAACACGCAAUCCAAACUUCGAUCGAAUCUCAAGGUGGAGAUUUCCCAGUUAAUUCACACACCAUGAAAGAGCAAUUGAAAGCAAGCAGGGUUAAGAUCUUGGCUGCCUUGCUGGUCUUCUCCAUGCUUACUCAAGGCAUGGCGGUUCGCGUCAAGGGGGUGGUGAGGAAUGGCAUCACCGAUGAGGCUGUCAGCGCAAAAACCACCCUCGGUGCAGGCAGCAGCACAGCCGUCAACAACCACCAUGCAAUCCCACGGGACCAGUAUAGUAGCCAUGGAGGAGAGGAUGGAUCAGGUGGCAGUGGUGGUGAUACUACAAAGAACUAGUGCCAUUCUCUGAGACCGUUCUGUUAGCUGAAGAUAUAUAUUCUGAUCUCUGAUGACAUAUUGUAUAGAUGUCAGCAGCGCUAAUAUAUUACUAUUCAUGUCUACGUGGAAAUAAGCUGCUAAAGGGAAGAGUAAUGUCGAAGAUAAUAUGCAUGUUAUUUACAUCCUCACAGAAGGAAAAAGCUAUGUUUUAUUUGAAAAAUAAAGAAGCUAUAUAUGUAAUAGAUGUAAUAUUCUCGCGUCUGUGUGUAAGGAAACUUUCAUGAUGUUACACGGCAGCCAUCGAUAAAAUUCAUGCC
Molecule: long non-coding RNA, 2702 nt
Organism: Triticum aestivum (bread wheat)
Lineage: Eukaryota; Viridiplantae; Streptophyta; Magnoliopsida; Poales; Poaceae
Exons: 2
Source: RefSeq, a predicted model, not a curated record